AACGAACGCUGGCGGCAGGCUUAACACAUGCAAGUCGAACGCCCCGCAAGGGGAGUGGCAGACGGGUGAGUAACACGUGGGAACCUUCCUAGAGGUACGGAACAACUCAGGGAAACUUGAGCUAAUACCGUAUACGCUCUUGCGAGGAAAGAUUUAUCGCCUUUAGACGGGCCCGCGUCGGAUUAGCUAGUUGGUAGGGUAAAGGCCUACCAAGGCUAUGACGGUUAGGGGUCCCGAGAGGGAGAACCCCCACACUGGGACUGCGACACGGCCCAGACUCCUACGGGAGGCAGCAGUUUGGAAUUUUGCACAAUGGGCGAAAGCCUGAUGCAGCGACGCCGCGUGGACGAUGAAGGCCUUCGGGUUGUAAAGUCCUUUUGCUCGGGAACAAUUUUUGAGCGUACCGAGAGAAUAAGAGGUUGCUAACUCUGUGCCAGCCGCCGCGGUAA
This 449-nucleotide ribosomal RNA is filed under the name uncultured bacterium. Its description in RNAcentral is "partial 16S ribosomal RNA". It matches the Rfam family "Bacterial small subunit ribosomal RNA", at positions 29 to 523 of the family's 1533-position model. The record is from RNAcentral.